UUCGGAAUUACUGGGCGUAAAGGGCUCGUAGGCGGCCAACUAAGUCAGACGUGAAAUCCCUCGGCUUAACCGGGGAACUGCGUCUGAUACUGGAUGGCUUGAGUUUGGGAGAGGGAUGCGGAAUUCCAGGUGUAGCGGUGAAAUGCGUAGAUAUCUGGAGGAACACCGGUGGCGAAGGCGGCAUCCUGGACCAACACUGACGCUGAGUGAGCGAAAGCCAGGGGAGCAAACGGG
This 234-nucleotide ribosomal RNA is filed under the name uncultured bacterium. RNAcentral's name for it is "partial 16S ribosomal RNA". It matches the Rfam family "Bacterial small subunit ribosomal RNA", at positions 544 to 776 of the family's 1533-position model. The record is from RNAcentral.